Molecule: ribosomal RNA, 329 nt
Filed under: uncultured eukaryote
Lineage: Eukaryota
Description: partial 18S ribosomal RNA
Rfam family: Eukaryotic small subunit ribosomal RNA
Source: RNAcentral
CCCUUAGAUGUUCUGGGCCGCACGCGCGCUACACUGUUUGAUUCAGCGAGUCUUAACCUUGACCGAAAGGUUUGGGUAAUCUUCUAAAGUCAAACGUGAUGGGGAUCGAUCAUUGCAAUUAUUGAUCGUGAACGGGGAAUUCCUAGUAAAUGCAAGUCAUCAGCUUGCGUUGAUUACGUCCCUGCCCUUUGUACACACCGCCCGUCGCUACUACCGAUUGAAUGGUUUAGUGAGAUCUCCGGAUUGGCUCUGUAGGUCCCGCAAGGGAUUUAUUAGUAGCCAAGAAGCUGCUCAAACUUGAUCAUUUAGAGGAAGUAAAAGUCGUAACA